This 259-nucleotide ribosomal RNA is filed under the name uncultured prokaryote. Its description in RNAcentral is "partial 16S ribosomal RNA". It matches the Rfam family "Bacterial small subunit ribosomal RNA", at positions 524 to 782 of the family's 1533-position model. The record is from RNAcentral.
UACGGAGGAUGCGAGCGUUAUCCGGAUUUAUUGGGUUUAAAGGGUGCGUAGGCGGCUUUUUAAGUCAGCGGUGAAAUUUUGCAGCUUAACUGUAACAGUGCCGUUGAUACUGGGGAGCUAGGAUUUGGUUGCUGUGGGUGGAAUGUGUGGUGUAGCGGUGAAAUGCUUAGAGAUCACACAGAAUACCGAUUGCGAAGGCAGCUCACAAAGCCAAGAUUGACGCUGAGGCACGAAAGUGUGGGGAUCAAACAGGAUUAGA